Molecule: ribosomal RNA, 465 nt
Filed under: uncultured bacterium
Lineage: Bacteria
Description: partial 16S ribosomal RNA
Rfam family: Bacterial small subunit ribosomal RNA
Source: RNAcentral
CCUACGGGAGGCAGCAGUGGGGAAUUUUGCGCAAUGCUCGUAAGAGUGACGCAGCGACGCCGCGUGAAUGACGAAGGCCUUCGGGUCGUAAAGUUCUUUCGACAGGGAAGAAAAUGCAUAUAAGUAACUGUGUAUGUAUUGACGGUACCUGUAUACGCAGCCCCGGCUAACUCCGUGCCAGCAGCCGCGGUAAUACGGAGGGGGCGAUCGUUGUUGGGAGUGACUGGGCGUAAAGAGCACGUAGGCGGUGUUGUAAGUCAUUAGUCAAAGACUAGAGCUCAACUUUAGUAAGGCUAGUGAUACUAUAAUACGAGAGUAUCAGAGAGGAUUGCAGAAUUCCUGGUGGAGCGGUGAAAUGCGGAGAUAUCAGGAGGAAUACCGUUAGCGAAGGCGGCAAUCUGGCUGGAAACUGACGCUGAGGUGCGAAAGCGUGGGUAGCAAACAGGAUUAGAUACCCUUGUAGUC